This 1534-nucleotide ribosomal RNA is filed under the name Phocaeicola coprocola. RNAcentral describes it as "bacterial SSU rRNA". It matches the Rfam family "Bacterial small subunit ribosomal RNA". The record is from RNAcentral. Lineage: Bacteria; Pseudomonadati; Bacteroidota; Bacteroidia; Bacteroidales; Bacteroidaceae.
UUUUACAAUGAAGAGUUUGAUCCUGGCUCAGGAUGAACGCUAGCUACAGGCUUAACACAUGCAAGUCGAGGGGCAGCAUGAACUUAGCUUGCUAAGUUUGAUGGCGACCGGCGCACGGGUGAGUAACACGUAUCCAACCUUCCGUUUACUCAGGGAUAGCCUUUCGAAAGAAAGAUUAAUACCUGAUAGUAUGGUGAGAUUGCAUGAUAGCACCAUUAAAGAUUUAUUGGUAAACGAUGGGGAUGCGUUCCAUUAGGUAGUAGGCGGGGUAACGGCCCACCUAGCCGACGAUGGAUAGGGGUUCUGAGAGGAAGGUCCCCCACAUUGGAACUGAGACACGGUCCAAACUCCUACGGGAGGCAGCAGUGAGGAAUAUUGGUCAAUGGGCGAGAGCCUGAACCAGCCAAGUAGCGUGAAGGAUGAAGGUCCUACGGAUUGUAAACUUCUUUUAUACGGGAAUAAAGUAUCCUACGUGUAGGAUUUUGUAUGUACCGUAUGAAUAAGCAUCGGCUAACUCCGUGCCAGCAGCCGCGGUAAUACGGAGGAUGCGAGCGUUAUCCGGAUUUAUUGGGUUUAAAGGGAGCGCAGACGGGAGAUUAAGUCAGUUGUGAAAGUUUGCGGCUCAACCGUAAAAUUGCAGUUGAUACUGGUUUCCUUGAGUGCAGUUGAGGCAGGCGGAAUUCGUGGUGUAGCGGUGAAAUGCUUAGAUAUCACGAAGAACCCCGAUUGCGAAGGCAGCUUGCUAAACUGUAACUGACGUUCAUGCUCGAAAGUGUGGGUAUCAAACAGGAUUAGAUACCCUGGUAGUCCACACGGUAAACGAUGGAUACUCGCUGUUGGCGAUAUACUGUCAGCGGCCAAGCGAAAGCAUUAAGUAUCCCACCUGGGGAGUACGCCGGCAACGGUGAAACUCAAAGGAAUUGACGGGGGCCCGCACAAGCGGAGGAACAUGUGGUUUAAUUCGAUGAUACGCGAGGAACCUUACCCGGGCUUAAAUUGCAGACGAAUUACCUGGAAACAGGUAAGCCGCAAGGCGUCUGUGAAGGUGCUGCAUGGUUGUCGUCAGCUCGUGCCGUGAGGUGUCGGCUUAAGUGCCAUAACGAGCGCAACCCUCGUGGUCAGUUACUAACAGGUAACGCUGAGGACUCUGGCCAGACUGCCAUCGUAAGAUGUGAGGAAGGUGGGGAUGACGUCAAAUCAGCACGGCCCUUACGUCCGGGGCUACACACGUGUUACAAUGGGAGGUACAGAAGGCCGCUACCCGGCGACGGGAUGCCAAUCCCCAAAACCUCUCUCAGUUCGGACUGGAGUCUGCAACCCGACUCCACGAAGCUGGAUUCGCUAGUAAUCGCGCAUCAGCCACGGCGCGGUGAAUACGUUCCCGGGCCUUGUACACACCGCCCGUCAAGCCAUGAAAGCCGGGGGUACCUGAAGUGCGUAACCGCAAGGAGCGCCCUAGGGUAAAACCGGUAAUUGGGGCUAAGUCGUAACAAGGUAGCCGUACCGGAAGGUGCGGCUGGAACACCUCCUUUCU